Molecule: unclassified non-coding RNA, 329 nt
Filed under: soil metagenome
Description: partial contains 5.8S ribosomal RNA, internal transcribed spacer 2, and large subunit ribosomal RNA
Rfam family: 5.8S ribosomal RNA (bases 1-120)
Source: RNAcentral
GAUGAAGAACGUAGCGAAAUGCGAUAAGUAAUGUGAAUUGCAGAAUUCAGUGAAUCAUCGAAUCUUUGAACGCACAUUGCGCCCUCUGGUAUUCCGGGGGGCGUGCCUGUUCGAGCGUCAUUAUAACCACUCAAGCUCUCGCUUGGUAUUGGGGUUCGCGGUUCCGCGGCCCCUAAAAUCAGUGGCGGUGCCUGUCGGCUCUACGCGUAGUAAUACUCCUCGCGAUUGAGUCCGGUAGGUCUACUUGCCAGCAACCCCCAAUUUUUACAGGUUGACCUCGGAUCAGGUAGGGAUACCCGCUGAACUUAAGCAUAUCAAUAAGCGGAGGA